CAUGCAAGUCGAGCGAGAAGCUAACUUCGGUUAGUGGACAGCGGCGCACGGGUGAGUAACGCGUGGGAAUUUACCUUUCGGCGGGGGACAACAGUUGGAAACGACUGCUAAUACCGCAUACGCCCUACGGGGGAAAGAUUUAUCACCGAAAGAUAGGCCCGCGUUAGAUUAGGUAGUUGGUAGGGUCAAAGCCUACCAAGCCGACGAUCUAUAGCUGGUUUGAGAGAACGAUCAGCCACACUGGAACUGAGACACGGUCCAGACUCCUACGGGAGGCAGCAGUGGGGAAUCUUGCACAAUGGGCGAAAGCCUGAUGCAGCCAUGCCGCGUGAGUGAGAAGGCCUUCGGGUUGUAAAACUCUUUUAGAUGUGAAGAUGAUGACGGUAACAUCAGAAAAAGCACCGGCUAACUUCGUGCCAGCAGCCGCGGUAAUACGAAGGGUGCUAGCGUUGUUCGGAAUUACUGGGCGUAAAGAGCGUGUAGGCGGCUUAGCAAGUUAGAGGUGAAAUCCCAGGGCUCAACCCUGGAACUGCCUUUGAUACUGCUAAGCUUGAGAUCGUGAGGGGAUAGCGGAAUACCCAGUGUAGAGGUGAAAAUUCG
Molecule: ribosomal RNA, 600 nt
Filed under: uncultured Alphaproteobacteria bacterium
Lineage: Bacteria; Pseudomonadati; Pseudomonadota; Alphaproteobacteria
Description: bacterial SSU rRNA
Rfam family: Bacterial small subunit ribosomal RNA
Source: RNAcentral